AUGGGCACCGAGCGGGCCAUCAUCCACGGCGAGCUGCCCCAGCCGUGCCACCACGGCAAGGACAGGGCGUACAGGAUCGCCAACACGAUUCCUGUCGCGGCGUUCAUUGUGACGGUGAUCUGGACCGCUUCCAUGACGGCCAUCAUUUUUACAAACGACAUCACCGAUGAGUUUGACAUUGUCUUUCUCCUCUCAUACGUCGGUUGGAUACAUGUUGCCGUCUGGUUACUAUAUGUUGCAGAUGUACCCAUGCGUAAAGUGCUGAUGAAAGAGCCGAUGGUAUCUCUACUUGCCUCUCUUCUCCCAUGCUUGAUGAUUUCUCCGGUGAUCAGCGCUGUGUGCCGUAUUCUUUACAACCUCAGUGUUUAUGUGCACUAUUUGCUGACUGCUGCUUCAUACAGGGUACUCCUUGGUAAACAUGAUAAGUCAUGUGAAGAGAAGUUGAACAGCAUGGAACAUAUGGGCGACCAUGAUGAGAAUCCAAAGGAGAUGACUGCGACAUCGGGGAGAAAGCCUAUUUCUAGAGGGGCCAGCGUGGAGAGUGAAGAAAAGAAGCACACUUUGGGCACGAAGAACAUCAAGGAUCGAGUCUUCUCAUUUGGGCACCGCAAGCACCAAAGUUGA
RNAcentral lists this ribosomal RNA (624 nucleotides) under Triticum aestivum (bread wheat). Its description in RNAcentral is "partial small subunit ribosomal RNA". Lineage: Eukaryota; Viridiplantae; Streptophyta; Magnoliopsida; Poales; Poaceae. The record is from RNAcentral.